AAAUUGAAGAGUUUGAUCAUGGCUCAGAUUGAACGCUGGCGGCAGGCCUAACACAUGCAAGUCGAACGGUAACAGGAAGCAGCUUGCUGCUUCGCUGACGAGUGGCGGACGGGUGAGUAAUGUCUGGGAAACUGCCUGAUGGAGGGGGAUAACUACUGGAAACGGUAGCUAAUACCGCAUAACGUCGCAAGACCAAAGAGGGGGACCUUCGGGCCUCUUGC
This 221-nucleotide ribosomal RNA is filed under the name Escherichia coli. RNAcentral's name for it is "partial 16S ribosomal RNA". It matches the Rfam family "Bacterial small subunit ribosomal RNA", at positions 1 to 218 of the family's 1533-position model. Lineage: Bacteria; Pseudomonadati; Pseudomonadota; Gammaproteobacteria; Enterobacterales; Enterobacteriaceae. The record is from RNAcentral. RNAcentral also lists the same sequence under 1 other name.